AGUAAAGUAAGCUAAACAUAAGCUAAUAGGUUCAUACCCUGUAAAUGGAAGAAAUAACUUCCCUUUACUA
This 70-nucleotide transfer RNA is filed under the name Megacopta caliginosa. Its description in RNAcentral is "tRNA-Met". The record is from RNAcentral. Lineage: Eukaryota; Metazoa; Arthropoda; Insecta; Hemiptera; Plataspidae.